UGUAACUCUUCAGUUUUCAUUCAUAAGACUUUAUUUACAAACAUUUUUUUCUGGAAGAUUUUGAAUGAAUAUGUAGUGCGUAUUUUUCUGCAUUUACUCCGCUGUUGAAAACAAGAUUGAUAAAUCUAUAUGAACAGACUUAUCUCUAUAAUUAACAAAAAAGGUAUUAUUGUGGCAUUUUCAACGACAGCAUUUUUCUUUCUUUUAUAACAUUGUUUAUUUUGAUAUCUUUCAUAAAUAUUGUCCGGUAUUACCGACACCUUGCGUGGAUAAAAGACGAACAAUCCAAUGUGGUUAUCAAGUGUAAUUUAAGAUUUUAGGUCUUUAAUAUUUCGAUGUGUUAUAAACAACUAUCCCAUGUAAGAACAAAUAUGAUCAAGGCCACUAUCUUUGUGUUGCUCCUGGCAAUUAUUUUCUAUUAUUCUUUGCGAAAAUUGAUACACGAAAGCUUCCUUCAAGAUGGUAAAUCACCAGGAAAUAUUUACAUAAAUCAAAAAAAUAUUCUUCAUGAAAUCAAACUGUACACUGGUCCAGAAAAUACCAAAGCAAUUUCUGAAGAACCCUUAGUUGAUUCCAAGUUUGACGUGCAACCUAUAAUGGAAGGAUCGAAGAAAAACAAACAUUUUUUGCAUCAGAAGAACUCUAUUCAUUUAUCUCUCGUUGUAUGUGGGGAUCGCCUUGAGGAAUCUGUUGUAUUAUUAAAAUCUGCUGUUUUGCUGACAGACCAACCCCUUGUUUUCCAUUUGUUUGUGGAAGACCAUCUCCAGAAGAAUUUUCAGGAUCAACUUGACUUCUGGCCUGAUUCGUUCCGUAAUAAAAUUUUCUACCGAAUAUUUGCAAUUCAAUAUCCAUCUGACCAAAACCAAGAAGAAUGGUGGAAAUUAUUCAAGCCAUGUGCAUCACAACGUCUGUUUAUUCCGCAUAUCUUAAUAGAUGUUGAUUCCUUACUUUACGUUGAUACAGAUGUUCUGUUCUUGAGUCCAGUCACUGCUAUAUGGGAAAUCUUCAGCAAAUUUUCUGAAUCCCACACAACAGGACUAGCACCAGAGCAUGAAGAUGCUGGUACUGGGUGGUACAACAGAUUUGCUCAACAUCCAUUUUUUAAACCUUUAGGUGUCAACUCAGGUGUUAUGUUGAUGAAUUUAACAAGAAUCAGAUGUACAAAAUGGCAAUCGUUAAUCAUAGAAUAUUACAAGACUUACAGAUAUAAAAUUGUUUAUGGAGACCAAGACCUAGUGAAUAUCUAUUUUCAUUUCAAUGCAGAUGAAUUAUAUAUAUUUGACUGUCACUGGAAUUAUCGCCCAGACCACUGUAUGUAUAUGAGUGUAUGUAAAUCAGCAGAAAAAGAAGGAGCUGCUAUUAUACAUGGUUGUCGAAGAGUCAUGCACAAUGAUCAGCAGCCAGCAUUUAGAUCAGUUUAUCGCACAUUUAAAAAACACAGAUUUGGAGCUGAUCUCCAACAUGAGUUACUGCCAAAUUUAAAAAGAGAACUCAGCACUGUCGCAUCAACAAAUUGCGGGAAAGUUGCAUACAUUUUUGUCAAAAGACUACAGGGAGAGGUGCUGAAAAUACUUCAAUGAAAAGACAAAGAAACCAUAUUCUGUUAUUCUUUUAGUAGUUUCCAUAAUUUGACUGCAGCCAAGUUUUGUAUUUGAUCAAAUCAAUCUCAGUACUAUUUUAUGAAAAGUUUAAGUUGCCAUAAAUAUACAUGAACAUAGGCACACACAAAUACAUAUAUUUAUAUAUAUCUUAUUAUCAUCAAUCGUCAUCUAAUAGUCUACCACCUUCUCUCUCUCUCUUCCUUUACUCUCUUCUCUUUCACUGUCUUACUCUCACCACAACACUUCUAUCACUUCACUAAAAUUCUCUUAUGUCUUUUUCAACUGGAGAUGAGGCAAUUCUCUGAUGCAAGGGAACAGAGAAAGACAAUAUGUGAAGAGGUACCAAAAAGUAACCAGAAACUGCAACAUCUGCAUAAAAAACAUCUCUUGUAUUAGAAAAUAUCUGGAGAGAUGUUGUAACCAAGAUUUCAUGUUACCAUCAAAGCCACAGAAUGGAAUUUUGGAAAUUUGAGAACUAAAGAGGCUGUCCUUAAUUAAAGGUUGUUCCAGUCAUAGAUAAGAAUUGUGCAGUGAUAAUUAUCUGAACCUACCAAUCUGUCCAUGUCACAUCACCCUCAUUUCCCCAUAUGUCUGUGCAGAUUAGAGCUAUGCUUAGUCUCCAUUUUGUUUUCAUAAGGGCUUUUAAGCUAAAAUAUUGUAAUAUAAGGUAAAAGUGUAAAUAUUUUUCACUCCUGUAUUUUUAACAUACAUUAUUGUAGCUUUUAAAAUCACUUUGAACUCUAUUUAAUAACCUUUUAAACAAAUAAACUCCCUAAUAUUAAUGUAUAUUUUAAUAGGAAUUAAAAAAAUAUAAUCAA
RNAcentral lists this unclassified non-coding RNA (2419 nucleotides) under Octopus sinensis (East Asian common octopus). RNAcentral describes it as "glucoside xylosyltransferase 1, transcript variant X3". Lineage: Eukaryota; Metazoa; Mollusca; Cephalopoda; Octopoda; Octopodidae. The record is from RNAcentral.